ACUGAUGACUCCAACGAGCACAAGCUUGAUCGGAAGACCUGGCUAAACUCAUAAGCGUCAUCGUGAUGGGGAUAGAUUAUUGCAAUUAUUAAUCUUCAACGAGGAAUUCCUAGUAAGCGUGAGUCAUCAGCUCACGUUGAUUACGU
RNAcentral lists this ribosomal RNA (146 nucleotides) under uncultured Cryptophyta. Its description in RNAcentral is "partial 18S ribosomal RNA". It matches the Rfam family "Eukaryotic small subunit ribosomal RNA", at positions 1502 to 1650 of the family's 1831-position model. Lineage: Eukaryota; Cryptophyceae. The record is from RNAcentral.